RNAcentral lists this ribosomal RNA (415 nucleotides) under Flagellimonas lutimaris. RNAcentral's name for it is "bacterial SSU rRNA". It matches the Rfam family "Bacterial small subunit ribosomal RNA", at positions 382 to 795 of the family's 1533-position model. Lineage: Bacteria; Pseudomonadati; Bacteroidota; Flavobacteriia; Flavobacteriales; Flavobacteriaceae. The record is from RNAcentral.
ACUGAUCAGCCAUGCCGCGUGCAGGAUGACGGCCCUAUGGGUUGUAAACUGCUUUUAUACGGGAAGAAACGCGCCCACGUGUGGGCGUUUGACGGUACCGUAAGAAUAAGGACCGGCUAACUCCGUGCCAGCAGCCGCGGUAAUACGGAGGGUCCGAGCGUUAUCCGGAAUCAUUGGGUUUAAAGGGUCCGUAGGCGGGCCUGUAAGUCAGGGGUGAAAGUUUGUGGCUCAACCAUAAAAUUGCCUUUGAUACUGCAGGUCUUGAGUCAUGGUGGGGUUGCCGGAACAUGUGGUGUAGCGGUGAAAUGCAUAGAUAUCACAUAGAACACCGAUCGCGAAGGCAGGUGACCAACCAUGUACUGACGCUGAUGGACGAAAGCGUGGGUAGCGAACGGGAUUAGAUACCCCGGUAGUC